CGUCGGUUAGGGUGAGUGAGUCGUGCACGGGGGAAGUCCGGUCGAAGUCCGGCGCUGACCCGCAACGGUAGGUCCCAGUUUUUGGGGCAAGCCCGAAUACCCGCACACGGCUUGAAACCAGU
This 122-nucleotide non-coding RNA is filed under the name Lentzea aerocolonigenes. Lineage: Bacteria; Bacillati; Actinomycetota; Actinomycetes; Pseudonocardiales; Pseudonocardiaceae. The record is from RNAcentral.